Molecule: ribosomal RNA, 279 nt
Filed under: uncultured bacterium
Lineage: Bacteria
Description: partial 16S ribosomal RNA
Rfam family: Bacterial small subunit ribosomal RNA
Source: RNAcentral
UGCCAGCAGCCGCGGUAAUACGGAGGGUGCAAGCGUUAUCCGGAUUUACUGGGUUUAAAGGGUGCGCAGGCGGAUUUGUAAGUCAGUGGUGAAAGCCUGGAGCUUAACUCCGGAACUGCCAUUGAUACCGCAAACCUUGAGUACAGUUGAGGUGGGCGGAAUGCAGCAUGUAGCGGUGAAAUGCUUAGAUAUGCUGCAGAACACCAAUUGCGAAGGCAGCUCGCUAAACUGUAACUGACGCUGAGGCACGGAAGCGUGGGGAGCGAACAGGAUUAGAUA